This 433-nucleotide ribosomal RNA is filed under the name uncultured bacterium. RNAcentral's name for it is "partial 16S ribosomal RNA". It matches the Rfam family "Bacterial small subunit ribosomal RNA", at positions 29 to 507 of the family's 1533-position model. The record is from RNAcentral.
AGCGAACGCUGGCGGCAGGCCUAACACAUGCAAGUCGAACGAACUCUUCGGAGUUAGUGGCGGACGGGUGAGUAACACGUGGGAACGUGCCUUUUGGUUCGGAAUAACUCAGGGAAACUUGUGCUAAUACCGAAUGUGCCCUUCGGGGGAAAGAUUCAUCGCCAUUAGAGCGGCCCGCGUCUGAUUAGCUAGUUGGUGAUGUAACGGCGCACCAAGGCGACGAUCAGUAGCUGGUCUGAGAGGAUGACCAGCCACACUGGGACUGGGACACGGCCCAGACUCCUGCGGGAGGCAGCAGUGGGGAAUCUUGCGAAAUGGGCGAAAGCCUGACGCAGCCAUGCCGCGUGAAUGAUGAAGUUCUUAGGAUUGUAAAAUUCUUUCACCGGGGACGAUAAUGACGGUACCCGGAGAAGAAGCCCCGGCUAACUUCGUG